CUCGAGUCUGAGAUGCAAAUUUUUCCUGCGCUGGGUGGUUGGUGUCAACAGAGGCCGAGAAAGAAGCUCUCGCUGUGAUUCCUUCCACUCUAGUUGGUACCGCGUGUUGCAGACACUAACUGGGACAGAACGUGGUGCUCCCUAGCUCCAUCGGAUGCGAGUUCUGGGCCUCUGAGCCUGUCUUUCUACAGCCUCAACUCAAACUCCUGAAGGUUGAGAGUGCAAGAAACUUGAAGGUUCUAGAGGUCAGCAGCUUCAUCCAAAGCAGAGAAGACACAGCAUGAGGAAUCUGAUGCAACUUGCUCAGCCUUUUGCCUUAAGGUCUGCGUGUCACUAACGCUGAUGCUGCAAGAACAUCUGGGAUGCUUCAGAUCGACAGCCUUCAGGAUGACAGCAUCAUGUCCGCUGUCACUUUGGAUUUGCUGUAGGUUAUCGGAGUAAUUAUCUGUGCAGAAAGGCAGCAGAGUGCUCAGGACCCAGCCCCUCCUAAGGUUCCAUCUUCCAACCUCUCCAAUUCGAAUACAGCUUCUAAGCCAAAUCACUACUUCCCACCAACUCCCACCCCCACCCACCACCCCUGUCCUCACCCUUUGAAAAUCCUC
This is a long non-coding RNA of Ailuropoda melanoleuca (giant panda), 602 nucleotides long. RefSeq lists it as uncharacterized. The record is from RefSeq and is a predicted model, not a curated record. The transcript is spliced from 3 exons. Lineage: Eukaryota; Metazoa; Chordata; Mammalia; Carnivora; Ursidae.